UGUAAGCGUAUACCAAAGUUGUUGCAGUUAAAACGCUCGUAGUCGGAAUUUGGCAGUUCCGGAUGUGUGCACGUCGUGUGCGCACUUCGCGGGGAUUGCUUUUGUGGUCUUGCGUAGGAUGAGGCACUUUUAUUAGUGAACGUCCUCACGCAACCACUUUUUACUGUGAGAAAAUCAGAGUGCUCAAAGCAGGCAUUUGCCGUGAAUGCAUUAGCAUGGAAUAAUAGAAUAGGACUUGGUUCUAUUUUGUUGGUUUGUUGGGACUGAGUAAUGAUUAAGAGGGACAGUUGGGGGCAUUUGUAUUUCGGUGCUAGAGGUGAAAUUCUUAGAUUACCGAAAGACAAACUGCUGCGAAAGCGUCUGCCAAGGAUGUUUUCAUUGA
This 382-nucleotide ribosomal RNA is filed under the name uncultured eukaryote. RNAcentral's name for it is "partial 18S ribosomal RNA". It matches the Rfam family "Eukaryotic small subunit ribosomal RNA", at positions 592 to 976 of the family's 1831-position model. The record is from RNAcentral.